UACGAAGGGGGGCUAGCGUUGCUCGGAAUCACUGGGCGUAAAGCGCACGUAGGCGGCUUACUAAGUCAGGGGUGAAAUCCUGGAGCUCAACUCCAGAACUGCCUUUGAUACUGGUGAGCUUGAGUCCGGAAGAGGUGAGUGGAACUGCGAGUGUAGAGGUGAAAAUUUCGUAGAUAUUCGCAAGAACACCAGUGGCGAAGGCGGCUCACUGGUCCGGUACUGACGCUGAGGUGCGAAAGCGUGGGGAGCAAACAGG
Molecule: ribosomal RNA, 256 nt
Filed under: uncultured bacterium
Lineage: Bacteria
Description: partial 16S ribosomal RNA
Rfam family: Bacterial small subunit ribosomal RNA
Source: RNAcentral